This 293-nucleotide ribosomal RNA is filed under the name uncultured bacterium. Its description in RNAcentral is "partial 16S ribosomal RNA". It matches the Rfam family "Bacterial small subunit ribosomal RNA", at positions 775 to 1067 of the family's 1533-position model. The record is from RNAcentral.
GGAUUAGAUACCCUGGUAGUCCACGCCGUAAACGAUGUCGACUAGCCGUUGGGCUCCUUGAGAGCUUUGUGGCGCAGUUAACGCGAUAAGUCGACCGCCUGGGGAGUACGGCCGCAAGGUUAAAACUCAAAUGAAUUGACGGGGGCCCGCACAAGCGGUGGAGCAUGUGGUUUAAUUCGAUGCAACGCGAAGAACCUUACCUACCCUUGACAUCGAGAGAACUUUCCAGAGAUGGAUUGGUGCCUUCGGGAACUCUCAGACAGGUGCUGCAUGGCUGUCGUCAGCUCGUGCCG